Molecule: small nuclear RNA, 117 nt
Filed under: Esox lucius (northern pike)
Lineage: Eukaryota; Metazoa; Chordata; Actinopteri; Esociformes; Esocidae
Description: U5 spliceosomal RNA
Rfam family: U5 spliceosomal RNA
About the family: U5 RNA is a component of both types of known spliceosome.
Source: Rfam by way of RNAcentral
CAACUCUGGUUUCUCUUCAAUCACCGCACAAGUUUUCGCCUUUACUAAAGACUUCCGUGGAGAGCAACGCUUACGAGUUCAACGUAUUUUUGGACGGGCUUUGCUACCGGCGAGCCC